UUAAAAAAUAAAUUAAAUUUAUAAAUUUAAAAAAACUUACUUUUAAAUUUUAAUAAAUUUAAAAUUAAAUAUUAAAAAUCAAAAAUAAAAAUUAUUAUAAUCCAUUAAACAUAAUAUAUAAACUAUAUUUUGAUUUAACUAAAAAUUUUUAAAAAAAACAUUUAUAAAUUUAAGUAAAAAUUAAGAUAACAAUAUAUAAACAAAAUAUUAUUAACAAAAAAGUGCAUUAUCAAUUUAAUUAACAGAUUCCUCUAAUAAAUUAAUACCGCCAAAUAAUUUAAAUUUAAUAUUUAUAUAUAUUUAAUAUCUUAAAUAUAUUAAAUUUAAUUAAUAGGGUAUCUAAUCCCAUUCAAAUAAAUCAAUUUAAAAGAAUUAAUAAAAAAAGAAUUAAAUAAUUAAAUUUUAAUUUAAAUUAAAAAAAAAUAAAAAAAAAAUUACAAAAUACUAAAUUAUAAAAUUAAAUAAUUUUAAAUAUUGUAUAACC
Molecule: ribosomal RNA, 484 nt
Filed under: Icerya purchasi
Lineage: Eukaryota; Metazoa; Arthropoda; Insecta; Hemiptera; Monophlebidae
Description: partial 12S ribosomal RNA
Source: RNAcentral